This 200-nucleotide ribosomal RNA is filed under the name uncultured bacterium. RNAcentral's name for it is "partial 16S ribosomal RNA". It matches the Rfam family "Bacterial small subunit ribosomal RNA", at positions 8 to 218 of the family's 1533-position model. The record is from RNAcentral.
AGAGUUUGAUCAUGGCUCAGGAUUAACGCUGGCGGCGUGCCUAACACAUGCAAGUCGAACGAGGUAGCAAUACCUAGUGGCAGACGGGUGAGUAACACGUGGGCAACCUACCGUUGAGUUGGGGAUAACUAGCCGAAAGGUUAGCUAAUACCGAAUAAAACGUACCGGGGCAUCCUGGAACGUUGAAAGGAGCAAUCCGC